This 518-nucleotide ribosomal RNA is filed under the name Vibrio sp. L62C55. RNAcentral describes it as "bacterial SSU rRNA". It matches the Rfam family "Bacterial small subunit ribosomal RNA", at positions 60 to 564 of the family's 1533-position model. Lineage: Bacteria; Pseudomonadati; Pseudomonadota; Gammaproteobacteria; Vibrionales; Vibrionaceae. The record is from RNAcentral.
AGUCGAGCGGUAACAGGAAGAAAGCUUGCUUUCUUUGCUGACGAGCGGCGGACGGRUGAGUAAUGCCUGGGAAUAUGCCUUAACGUGGGGGAUAACUAUUGGAAACGAUAGCUAAUACCGCAUGAUGCCUACGGGCCAAAGAGGGGGACCUUCGGGCCUCUCGCGUUAAGAUUAGCCCAGGUGGGAUUAGCUAGUUGGUGAGGUAAUGGCUCACCAAGGCGACGAUCCCUAGCUGGUCUGAGAGGAUGAUCAGCCACACUGGAACUGAGACACGGUCCAGACUCCUACGGGAGGCAGCAGUGGGGAAUAUUGCACAAUGGGCGCAAGCCUGAUUGCAGCCAUGCCGCGUGUAUGAAGAAGGCCUUCGGGUUGUAAAGUACUUUCAGUCGUGAGGAAGGCAUUURCGUUAAUAGCGUAAGUGUUUGACGUUAGCGACAGAAGAAGCACCGGCUAACUCCGUGCCAGCAGCCGCGGUAAUACGGAGGGUGCGAGCGUUAAUCGGAAUUACUGGGCGUAAA